UUGAGCGCUGGCGGCAUGCCUUACACAUGCAAGUCGAACGGUAACAGGUUAAGCUGACGAGUGGCGAACGGGUGAGUAAUAUAUCGGAACGUGCCCAAUCGUGGGGGAUAACGCAGCGAAAGCUGUGCUAAUACCGCAUACGAUCUAUGGAUGAAAGCGGGGGAUCGCAAGACCUCGCGCGAGUGGAGCGGCCGAUAUCAGAUUAGCUAGUUGGUGAGGUAAAGGCUCACCAAGGCGACGAUCUGUAGCUGGUCUGAGAGGACGACCAGCCACACUGGAACUGAGACACGGUCCAGACUCCUACGGGAGGCAGCAGUGGGGAAUUUUGGACAAUGGGCGCAAGCCUGAUCCAGCAAUGCCGCGUGCAGGAUGAAGGCCUUCGGGUUGUAAACUGCUUUUGUACGGAGCGAAAAGGCUCUCUCUAAUAAAGGGGGCUCAUGACGGUACCGUAAGAAUAAGCACCGGCUAACUACGU
This 475-nucleotide ribosomal RNA is filed under the name uncultured bacterium. RNAcentral describes it as "bacterial SSU rRNA". It matches the Rfam family "Bacterial small subunit ribosomal RNA", at positions 30 to 506 of the family's 1533-position model. The record is from RNAcentral.